This 72-nucleotide transfer RNA is filed under the name Camelus bactrianus (Bactrian camel). It matches the Rfam family "tRNA". From Rfam's summary of the family: Transfer RNA (tRNA) molecules are approximately 80 nucleotides in length. RNAcentral also lists the same sequence under 1 other name. The record is from Rfam by way of RNAcentral. Lineage: Eukaryota; Metazoa; Chordata; Mammalia; Artiodactyla; Camelidae.
GAGGGUAUAGCUCAGUGGUAGAGUACGUGCCUAGCAUGCACAAGGUCCUGGGUUCAAUCCCCAGUACCUCCA